UCGAGGGGUAUAGUUCUUCGGGAUUAGAGACCGGCGCACGGGUGCGUAACGCGUAUGCAAUCUACCUUUCACAGAGGGAUAGCCCAGAGAAAUUUGGAUUAAUACCUCAUAGUAUAGUGAUACCGCAUGGUACUACUAUUAAAGUCACAACGGUGAAAGAUGAGCAUGCGUCCCAUUAGCUAGUUGGUAAGGUAACGGCUUACCAAGGCAACGAUGGGUAGGGGUCCUGAGAGGGAGAUCCCCCACACUGGUACUGAGACACGGACCAGACUCCUACGGGAGGCAGCAGUGAGGAAUAUUGGUCAAUGGGCGCAAGCCUGAACCAGCCAUGCCGCGUGCAGGAUGACGGUCCUAUGGAUUGUAAACUGCUUUUGUACGGGAAGAAACAACUCUACGUGUAGAGUCUUGACGGUACCGUAAGAAUAAGGAUCGGCUAACUCCGUGCCAGCAGCCGCGGUAAUACGGAGGAUCCAAGCGUUAUCCGGAAUCAUUGGGUUUAAAGGGUCCGUAGGCGGUUUGGUAAGUCAGUGGUGAAAGCCCAUCGCUCAACGGUGGAACGGCCAUUGAUACUGCCAGACUUGAAUUAUUAGGAAGUAACUAGAAUAUGUAGUGUAGCGGUGAAAUGCUUAGAGAUUACAUGGAAUACCAAUUGCGAAGGCAGGUUACUACUAAUGGAUUGACGCUGAUGGA
RNAcentral lists this ribosomal RNA (690 nucleotides) under uncultured Bacteroidota bacterium. RNAcentral describes it as "bacterial SSU rRNA". It matches the Rfam family "Bacterial small subunit ribosomal RNA", at positions 62 to 753 of the family's 1533-position model. Lineage: Bacteria; Pseudomonadati; Bacteroidota. The record is from RNAcentral.